Molecule: regulatory RNA element, 83 nt
Organism: Actinokineospora spheciospongiae
Lineage: Bacteria; Bacillati; Actinomycetota; Actinomycetes; Pseudonocardiales; Pseudonocardiaceae
Rfam family: Actino-pnp RNA
Source: Rfam
GCCGGUCCUCGGUAGUGGUCUCCGGGACGGCCCCGGUGCUCCGAGAGCACCGAGGGGCCCGAGGACUUCGAUCGAAGACCGGC